Molecule: ribosomal RNA, 484 nt
Filed under: uncultured bacterium
Lineage: Bacteria
Description: partial 16S ribosomal RNA
Rfam family: Bacterial small subunit ribosomal RNA
Source: RNAcentral
AUUGAACGCUGGCGGCAGGCCUAACACAUGCAAGUCGAGCGGAUGAACAGUACUUGCUCCUGGUUUCAGCGGCGGACGGGUGGGUGAUGCCUAGGAAUCUGCCUGGUUGCGUGUGAUAACGUCCGGACGCGGGCGCUAAUACGGCAUACGUCCUGAGGGCGAACGUGUGAGAUCUUCGGAUCUUCCGCCAUCAGACGAUCCGAGGUCGGAUUAGCUAGUUGGUGGGGUAAAGGCCUACCAAGGCGACGAUCCGUAGCUGGUCUGAGAGGAUGAUCAGACACACUGGAACUGAGACACGGUCCAGACUCCUACGGGAGGCAGCAGUGGGGAAUAUUGGACAAUGGGCGAAAGCCUGAUCCAGCCAUGCCGCGUGUGUGAAGAAGGUCUUCGGAUUGUAAAGCCCUUUUGUUGGGGAAGAAGAGCAGUAAGUUAAUACCUUGCUGUUUUGACGGUACCAACAGAAUAAGCACCGGCUAACUUCGUG